RNAcentral lists this transfer RNA (57 nucleotides) under Pteropus alecto (black flying fox). It matches the Rfam family "tRNA", at positions 9 to 63 of the family's 71-position model. From Rfam's summary of the family: Transfer RNA (tRNA) molecules are approximately 80 nucleotides in length. Their secondary structure includes four short double-helical elements and three loops (D, anti-codon, and T loops). The record is from Rfam by way of RNAcentral. Lineage: Eukaryota; Metazoa; Chordata; Mammalia; Chiroptera; Pteropodidae.
AGUGUAGUGGUUAGCACGCCUGCUUUACAUGCAGAAGGUCCUGGGUUCACGUCCCAG